Molecule: long non-coding RNA, 1125 nt
Filed under: Homo sapiens (human)
Lineage: Eukaryota; Metazoa; Chordata; Mammalia; Primates; Hominidae
Description: non-protein coding lnc-TENM1-7:1
Source: RNAcentral
AUGGCCUCAAAGCCUGAGAAGAGUGUGGCAUCGUCUGUCUUUAUCACCCUUGCACCCCUGUGCCACGAUUUAGCUGUGGUUGAGGAAGGGGGCAGGCGGUUUGUGAGGCCUGAUGUGGCCUCCCCUGGGAGGCUCCUGCCCCCAUGAAGGCACCCGGAGCUGGCUUAGCGGGAAAGCCCAGCCCCUGGGCACCCCCUGGCAGGGCUGCAGCCACAGUGCCAGCUGCACCUCUGCAGCUCUCCAAUGGAGGAUGCUCACCCCCUCCUCCUGUCCUGGAUGGUGAGGACGCACUUCCUGACCUGGACCUCGUCCCACCCCCUCCACUGCCCCCUCCGGUGCUCCUGUCUUCUGAAGAAGAGGCUCCUGCUCCAAUGGGGGCCUCACUCAUUGCAGACUUAGAGCGGUUGCACCUGCCCUCGCCCCCACCCCGACCACAGGCCCCAGUGGAGGGACCUUCAGUCCAGCCUGGGCCCAGUCCCCUCGGGCCUGGGGAGGAAGAGCUUCCGCCUUCCCCAGCAGAGCCUGUUGAGAGAGAGUCGUCCACAGACAUCUGUGCCUUCUGCCACAAAACCGUGUCCCCCGCAAGAGCUGGCUGUGGAGGCCAUAAAGAGGCAGUACCAUGCCCAGUGCUUCACGUGGCACACCUGCCACCGCCAGCUAGCUGGGCAGAGCUUCUACCAGGAUGGGCGACCCCUCUGCAAACCCUGCUACCAGGACACACUGGAGAAGUGCGGCAAGUGUGGCCAGGUGGUCCGGGAGCACAUCAUCAGGGCCCUGGGCCAGGCCUUCCACCCCUCCUGCUUCAUGUGUGUGACCUGUGCCCGGUGCAUCCAGGAUGAGAGCUCUGCCCUGGGCAGCCAAAACGAGAUGUACUGCCUAGACGAAUUCUACAAGAAAUUUGCUCCCGUAUGCAGCAUCUGUGAGAAUCCCAUUAUUCCUCGGGAUGGGAAAGAUGCCUUCAAAAUCAAGUGCAUGGGAAGAAACUUCCAUGUAAAUUGCUACAGGUGUGAGGACUGCAGGAUCCUCCUGUCUGUGGAGCCCAGGAACCAAGGCUGCUACCCCCUGGACAACCAUCUCUUCUGCAAGCAGUGCCACGUGAAGCAGAGUGCUGCUGGGUGCUGCUGA